ACAUCCAGAGAAUUUAGCAGAGAUGCUUUAGUGCCUUCGGGAACUCUGAGACAGGUGCUGCAUGGCUGUCGUCAGCUCGUGUUGUGAAAUGUUGGGUUAAGUCCCGNAACGAGCGCAACCCUUAUCCUUUGUUGCCAGCACGUAAUGGUGGGAACUCAAAGGAGACUGCCGGUGAUAAACCGGAGGAAGGUGGGGAUGACGUCAAGUCAUCAUGGCCCUUACGAGUAGGGCUACACACGUGCUACAAUGGCGCAUACAAAGAGAAGCGACCUCGCGAGAGCAAGCGGACCUCAUAAAGUGCGUCGUAGUCCGGAUUGGAGUCUGCAACUCGACUCCAUGAAGUCGGAAUCGCUAGUAAUCGUAAAUCAGAAUGUUACGGUGAAUACGUUCCCGGGCCUUGUACACACCGCCCGUCACACCAUGGGAGUGGGUUGCAAAAGAAGUAGAUAGCUUAACCUUCGGGGAGGGCGUUUACCACUUUGUGAUUCAUGACUGGGGUGAAGUCGUAACAAGGUAAGCGUAGUGCU
RNAcentral lists this ribosomal RNA (527 nucleotides) under uncultured bacterium. RNAcentral's name for it is "bacterial SSU rRNA". It matches the Rfam family "Bacterial small subunit ribosomal RNA", at positions 984 to 1509 of the family's 1533-position model. The record is from RNAcentral.